RNAcentral lists this ribosomal RNA (279 nucleotides) under uncultured bacterium. RNAcentral's name for it is "partial 16S ribosomal RNA". It matches the Rfam family "Bacterial small subunit ribosomal RNA", at positions 506 to 784 of the family's 1533-position model. The record is from RNAcentral.
UGCCAGCCGCCGCGGUAAUACGAAGGGACCUAGCGUAGUUCGGAAUUACUGGGCGUAAAGCGUACGUAGGCGGACUUUUAAGUUAGAUGUGAAAUCCCCGGGCUCAACCCGGGAACUGCAUUUAAAACUGGAAGUCUAGAGUUAUGGAGAGGUAAGUGGAAUUCCUAGUGUAGAGGUGAAAUUCGUAGAUAUUAGGAGGAACACCAGAGGCGAAGGCGGCUCACUGGCUCGAUACUGACGCUGAGGUACGAAAGUGUGGGGAGCAAACAGGAUUAGAUA